AGUCGAACGGGAAACUUUUCAUUGAAGCUUCGGCAGAUUUGGUCUGUUUCUAGUGGCGGACGGGUGAGUAACGCGUGGGUAACCUGCCUUAUACAGGGGGAUAACAACCAGAAAUGGUUGCUAAUACCGCAUAAGCGCACAGGACCGCAUGGUCCGGUGUGAAAAACUCCGGUGGUAUAAGAUGGACCCGCGUUGGAUUAGCUAGUUGGCAGGGUAACGGCCUACCAAGGCGACGAUCCAUAGCCGGCCUGAGAGGGUGAACGGCCACAUUGGGACUGAGACACGGCCCAGACUCCUACGGGAGGCAGCAGUGGGGAAUAUUGCACAAUGGGGGAAACCCUGAUGCAGCGACGCCGCGUGAAGGAAGAAGUAUCUCGGUAUGUAAACUUCUAUCAGCAGGGAAGAUAGUGACGGUACCUGACUAAGAAGCCCCGGCUAACUACGUGCCAGCAGCCGCGGUAAUACGUAGGGGGCAAGCGUUAUCCGGAUUUACUGGGUGUAAAGGGAGCGUAGACGGACUGGCAAGUCUGAUGUGAAAGGCGGGGGCUCAACCCCUGGACUGCAUUGGAAACUGUUAGUCUU
This 582-nucleotide ribosomal RNA is filed under the name uncultured bacterium. RNAcentral's name for it is "bacterial SSU rRNA". It matches the Rfam family "Bacterial small subunit ribosomal RNA", at positions 60 to 643 of the family's 1533-position model. The record is from RNAcentral.